UAAACGGCGGCCGUAACUAUAACGGUCCUAAGGUAGCGAAAUUCCUUGUCGGGUAAGUUCCGACCUGCACGAAUGGCGUAACGACUUCCCCACUGUCUCGGCCAGGGGCUCAGCGAAAUUGACAUGGGGGUGAAGAUGCCCUCUACCCGCAGCUAGACGGAAAGACCCCGUGAACCUUUACUACAGCUUGGCACUGAUUUUCGGGAUAGUUUGUGUAGGAUAGGUGGGAGGCGUUGAAACCGGGACGCUAGUUUCGGUGGAGCCAACCUUGAAAUACCACCCUGAUUAUUCUGGAAAUCUAACCUAGGCCCGUUAUCCGGGUCGGGGACAAUGCCUGGUGGGUAGUUUGACUGGGGCGGUCACCUCCCAAAAAGUAACGGAGGUGCGCGAAGGUCCUCUCAGCCUGAUUGGAAACCAGGCGUAGAGUGCAAUGGCAUAAGAGGGCUUGACUGCGAGACUUACUAGUCGAGCAGGUGGGAAACCAGGUCAUAGUGAUCCGGUGGCUCCGAAUGGAAGGGCCAUCGCUCAACGGAUAAAAGGUACUCCGGGGAUAACAGGCUGAUCUCCCCCAAGAGUUCACAUCGACGGGGAGGUUUGGCACCUCGAUGUCGGCUCAUCGCAUCCUGGGGCUGAAGUGGGUCCCAAGGGUUUGGCUGUUCGCCAAUUAAAGCGGUACGCGAGCUGGGUUCAGAACGUCGUGAGACAGUUCGGUCCCUAUCUGCUGUGGGCGUAGGAGUGUUGAAGAGAUCUGUCCCUAGUACGAGAGGACCGGGAUGGACGGACCUCUAGUGUUCCUGUUGUUCUGCCAAGGGCAUUGCAGGGUAGCUAUGUCCGGAACGGAUAACCGCUGAAAGCAUCUAAGCGGGAAGCCGGCUCUAAGAUAAGCACUCCCUGGACCUUCGGGUCCCUAAAGGUCAGUCGAAGACUACGACGUUGAUAGGCUGGGUGUGGAAGUGCAGCAAUGUAUGGAGCUAACCAGUACUAAUCGACCGUGAGGCUUGGCCUU
RNAcentral lists this ribosomal RNA (1006 nucleotides) under Pseudomonadota bacterium. RNAcentral's name for it is "bacterial LSU rRNA". It matches the Rfam family "Bacterial large subunit ribosomal RNA", at positions 1924 to 2925 of the family's 2925-position model. Lineage: Bacteria; Pseudomonadati; Pseudomonadota. The record is from RNAcentral.